Molecule: ribosomal RNA, 253 nt
Filed under: uncultured bacterium
Lineage: Bacteria
Description: partial 16S ribosomal RNA
Rfam family: Bacterial small subunit ribosomal RNA
Source: RNAcentral
UACGUAGGUGGCAAGCGUUGUCCGGAUUUACUGGGUGUAAAGGGCGUGUAGCCGGGCUGACAAGUCAGAUGUGAAAUCCGGGGGCUCAACCCCCGAACUGCAUUUGAAACUGUUGGUCUUGAGUAUCGGAGAGGCAGGCGGAAUUCCUAGUGUAGCGGUGAAAUGCGUAGAUAUUAGGGGGAACACCAGUGGCGAAGGCGGCCUGCUGGACGACAACUGACGGUGAGGCGCGAAAACGUGGGGAGCAAACAGG